CAAGAAGAGACCCUAACCGGUCCCUCUCAACCCUGCCCAUCGUACCUUUUUUGUUGUUCCCUCGGCGGUGCUCGCGGGGCCCCGCCGGCGGGAAGACCAAACAAACCCUUUGCAAACAAGCAUAUCGAAUCUCUGAUCAAAACAUGAAUUGUCA
Molecule: unclassified non-coding RNA, 154 nt
Filed under: soil metagenome
Description: partial internal transcribed spacer 1
Source: RNAcentral